UUNCACUUCAUCCUGAUGCCUGGGAGCC
Molecule: non-coding RNA, 28 nt
Filed under: Mus musculus (house mouse)
Lineage: Eukaryota; Metazoa; Chordata; Mammalia; Rodentia; Muridae
Source: RNAcentral